Molecule: long non-coding RNA, 715 nt
Organism: Sander lucioperca (pikeperch)
Lineage: Eukaryota; Metazoa; Chordata; Actinopteri; Perciformes; Percidae
Exons: 2
Source: RefSeq, a predicted model, not a curated record
UAGGAUAAAUACCCCUCUCCUUGCCGUCUACAUUGUUUUGAGUCCUGUUGUUUUUCUUCGGUGUUUGGGUCUGUGUGUGAUUUGGUUUAUCAUUUUUAAAUCAUAAAGUGAUAUAUUUCUGAAUCCAUAGUUUAAUACAAGAGGGUGAACAGAAAUAUAAAUAACUUCUAAAGAACUCUAAUCACCAAUAGUGACUGUUAAUGGGAUGUAAUAAGUUAGUAAUAAGAUACCAGAAGGUGUCCUGAUAUAUAAAAAUAUUUAACCAGGUGGAGGUGAAGAAAGAGAGAAUCUGGAGCUUUAGAAAUAAACUUUAACAAAGUCCAAACAGAAAUCUAUUUAAGAAGGUGUAGAAACUGACUUUAAGAGGUAUCAGGAUGAGGAAGGUGGGGGGAAUAGUUUGAUCUGAGUGACUCUGGGUGGAUAUUUGGGUUUUAUGUUACAGUGUUGGGAUAGUUUGAUAAAUAUUAAUUGAGUGAUGAAGAAGAACAGGUCUGAUCCUCCAUGUUUCAGAGCGUUUCUGUCAGCAUUUUACGGUCCGGUUAGUUUCACCGGUCAGUUAACUGCUGACGGAGCGUUAGAGCAUCACUGCUGUUGCUAUGGUUACCUGCAGUUUAAAAUACCUUGAGACCAGCCAAUCACAGACCAGUGUUUCCUGUGGUGACUGUAAAAUGAUCUGAAAUGUCUGUCGGAUUAAAUAAAUAAAGUGUGAUUAACA